GCCUGGGUGGCUCAGUGGUUAAGCGUCUGACUCUUGACUUCAGGUCAGGUCAUGAUCUCACAGUUUGUGGGUUUGAGCCCCACAUCGGGCU
This 91-nucleotide transfer RNA is filed under the name Felis catus (domestic cat). It matches the Rfam family "tRNA". Rfam says of the family: Transfer RNA (tRNA) molecules are approximately 80 nucleotides in length. Their secondary structure includes four short double-helical elements and three loops (D, anti-codon, and T loops). Lineage: Eukaryota; Metazoa; Chordata; Mammalia; Carnivora; Felidae. The record is from Rfam by way of RNAcentral.